MicroRNA precursor from Prunus persica (peach), 195 nucleotides. It matches the Rfam family "MIR159 microRNA precursor family". Lineage: Eukaryota; Viridiplantae; Streptophyta; Magnoliopsida; Rosales; Rosaceae. The record is from Rfam.
GGGUUUCAAUUGGAGCUCUUCUUCACUCUAAUUCUGAAAAGAGGUGAUGGUAGACCACGACUGCUAAUUCAUGAAUACCCUCAAGUAUGCACGUUAGCGACAGAUGUGCGCAUGUUAAGGGUUUGCAUGAAGUAGGAGACGGGGUUACUUUGAUCUUUUCGGUUUGGAGUGAAGAGAGCUCCAAAUUGAUCUUUC